UACAGAGGUCCCAAGCGUUGUUCGGAUUCAUUGGGCGUAAAGGGUGCGUAGGCGGUGCCGUAAGUCGGAUGUGAAAUCUCGGGGCUCAACCCCGAGCGGUCGUGAGAAACUGGCAGGCUAGAGUGCGGGAGAGGAGAGUGGAAUUCCUGGUGUAGCGGUGAAAUGCGUAGAGAUCGUAAGGAAGACCAGUGGCGAAGGCGGGUCUCUGGACAGUUCCUGACACUGAGGCACGAAGGCCAGGGGAGCAAACGGG
This 253-nucleotide ribosomal RNA is filed under the name uncultured bacterium. Its description in RNAcentral is "partial 16S ribosomal RNA". It matches the Rfam family "Bacterial small subunit ribosomal RNA", at positions 524 to 776 of the family's 1533-position model. The record is from RNAcentral.